AUUUAUAUAGUUUAUUUAAAACCUUACAUUUUCAUUGUAAAAUUAUAAAUUAUUUAUUAUAAAUA
RNAcentral lists this transfer RNA (65 nucleotides) under Cantharis sp. CAN01. RNAcentral describes it as "tRNA-Glu". The record is from RNAcentral. Lineage: Eukaryota; Metazoa; Arthropoda; Insecta; Coleoptera; Cantharidae.